CCCGCUGAACUUAAGCAUAUCAAUAAGCGGAGGAAAAGAAACCAACAGGGAUUACCUCAGUAACGGCGAGUGAAGCGGUAACAGCUCAAAUUUGAAAUCUGGCCUCACGGUCCGAGUUGUAAUUUGCAGAGGAUGCUUCGAGCAUGGUCUGGCCUAAGUUCCUUGGAACAGGACGUCAUAGAGGGUGAGAAUCCCGUAUGCGGUCAGGUGCCUACGCUCAUGUGAAGCUCCUUCGACGAGUCGAGUUGUUUGGGAAUGCAGCUCAAAAUGGGUGGUAAAUUUCAUCUAAAGCUAAAUAUUGGCCAGAGACCGAUAGCGCACAAGUAGAGUGAUCGAAAGAUGAAAAGCACUUUGGAAAGAGAGUUAAACAGUACGUGAAAUUGUUGAAAGGGAAGCGCUUGCAACCAGACUUGCGCGCGGCCGAUCAUCCGGUGUUCUCACCGGUGCACUCGGCCGUGCUCAGGCCAGCAUCGGUUUCGGCGGUUGGAUAAAGGCCUCAGGAAUGUGGCUCCUCUCGGGGAGUGUUAUAGCCUGGGGUGCAAUGCAGCCUGCUGGGACCGAGGACCGCGCUUCGGCUAGGAUGCUGGCGUAAUGGUUGUAAGCGGCCCGUCUUGAAACACGG
Molecule: ribosomal RNA, 622 nt
Filed under: uncultured fungus
Lineage: Eukaryota; Fungi
Description: eukaryotic LSU rRNA
Rfam family: Eukaryotic large subunit ribosomal RNA
Source: RNAcentral